RNAcentral lists this ribosomal RNA (446 nucleotides) under uncultured bacterium. RNAcentral describes it as "bacterial SSU rRNA". It matches the Rfam family "Bacterial small subunit ribosomal RNA", at positions 330 to 793 of the family's 1533-position model. The record is from RNAcentral.
UCCAGACUCCUACGGGAGGCAGCAGUGGGGAAUAUUGCACAAUGGGGGAAACCCUGAUGCAGCGACGCCGCGUGAGUGAAGAAGUAAUUCGUUAUGUAAAGCUCUAUCAGCAGGGAAGAAAAUGACGGUACCUGAGUAAGAAGCCCCGGCUAACUACGUGCCAGCAGCCGCGGUAAUACGUAGGGGGCAAGCGUUAUCCGGAUUUACUGGGUGUAAAGGGAGCGUAGACGGCAGUGCAAGUCUGGAGUGAAAGGCGGGGGCUCAACCCCCGGACUGCUCUGGAAACUGUACGGCUGGAGUGUCGGAGGGGCAGGCGGAAUUCCUAGUGUAGCGGUGAAAUGCGUAGAUAUUAGGAGGAACACCAGUGGCGAAGGCGACUUUCUGGACAGUAACUGACGUUGAGGCACGAAAGUGUGGGGAGCAAACAGGAUUAGAUACCCUAGUAC